AGAGUUUGAUUCUGGCUCAGGAUGAACGCUGGCGGCGUGCUUAACACAUGCAAGUCGAGCGAAGCAGUUAAGUUGAUUUCUUCGGAUUGAUUCUUAACUGACUGAGCGGCGGACGGGUGAGUAACGCGUGGGUGACCUGCCCCAUACCGGGGGAUAACAGCUGGAAACGGCUGCUAAUACCGCAUAAGCGCACGGAGCUGCAUGGCUCGGUGUGAAAAACUCCGGUGGUAUGGGAUGGGCCCGCGUCUGAUUAGGCAGUUGGCGGGGUAACGGCCCACCAAACCGACGAUCAGUAGCCGGCCUGAGAGGGCGACCGGCCACAUUGGGACUGAGACACGGCCCAA
Molecule: ribosomal RNA, 344 nt
Filed under: uncultured bacterium
Lineage: Bacteria
Description: bacterial SSU rRNA
Rfam family: Bacterial small subunit ribosomal RNA
Source: RNAcentral